RNAcentral lists this ribosomal RNA (497 nucleotides) under uncultured bacterium. RNAcentral describes it as "partial 16S ribosomal RNA". It matches the Rfam family "Bacterial small subunit ribosomal RNA", at positions 28 to 507 of the family's 1533-position model. The record is from RNAcentral.
GACGAACGCUGGCGGCGUGCCUAAUACAUGCAAGUUGAGCGCUGAAGGUUGGUACUUGUACCAACUGGAUGAGCAGCGAACGGGUGAGUGACGCGUGGGGAAUCUGCCUUUGAGCGGGGGACAACAUUUGGAAACGAAUGCUAAUACCGCAUAAAAACUUUAAACACAAGUUUUAAGUUUGAAAGAUGCAAUUGCAUCACUCAAAGAUGAUCCCGCGUUGUAUUAGCUAGUUGGUGAGGUAAAGGCUCACCAAGGCGAUGAUACAUAGCCGACCUGAGAGGGUGAUCCGCCAAAAUGGGACUGGGACACGGCCCAAACUCCUACGGGAGGCAGCAGGAGGGAAUCUUCGGCAAUGGACGAAAGUCUGAACGAGCAACGCCGCGUGAGGGAAGAAGGUUUUCGGAUCGUAAAACUCUGUUGGUAGGGAAGAACGUUGGUGAGAGGGGAAAGCUCAUCAAGUGACGGUAACUACCCAGAAAGGGACGGCUAACUACGUG